CCUACGGGAGGCUGCAGUGGGGAAUAUUGGACAAUGGGCGAAAGCCUGAUCCAGCCAUGCCGCGUGUGUGAAGAAGGCCUUCGGGUUGUAAAGCACUUUCAGUGGGGAAGAAAGCCUUGGGGCUAAUACCCUCGAGGAAGGACAUUACCCACAGAAGAAGCACCGGCUAACUCCGUGCCAGCAGCCGCGGUAAUACGGAGGGUGCGAGCGUUAAUCGGAAUUACUGGGCGUAAAGCGCGCGUAGGCGGUCUGAUAAGCCGGUUGUGAAAGCCCCGGGCUCAACCUGGGAACGGCAUCCGGAACUGUCAGGCUAGAGUGCAGUAGAGGAAGGUAGAAUUCCCUGUGUAGCGGUGAAAUGCGUAGAGAUCGGGAGGAAUACCAGUGGCGAAGGCGGCCUCCUGGACUGACACUGACGCUGAGGUGCGAAAGCGUGGGUAGCAAACAGGAUUAGAUACCCGAGUAGUC
This 465-nucleotide ribosomal RNA is filed under the name Vreelandella stevensii. RNAcentral's name for it is "partial 16S ribosomal RNA". It matches the Rfam family "Bacterial small subunit ribosomal RNA", at positions 338 to 795 of the family's 1533-position model. The record is from RNAcentral. Lineage: Bacteria; Pseudomonadati; Pseudomonadota; Gammaproteobacteria; Oceanospirillales; Halomonadaceae.